Cucumis melo (muskmelon) is the source of this 1272-nucleotide long non-coding RNA. RefSeq lists it as uncharacterized. The transcript has 2 exons. NCBI's taxonomy places the organism in Eukaryota, Viridiplantae, Streptophyta, Magnoliopsida, Cucurbitales, Cucurbitaceae. The record is from RefSeq and is a predicted model, not a curated record.
AUGUGAAGGAACUUAGUUCCUUGAUGUUGGAUAUUCACCAUAUGUCUGAACAAUUUAACUUCAUUUUAGGGUUGCAUUUGUGUUCACAAGUCGAGAUUAGAACACAGGGAUCCUAUGACUUACUUAACCUCUUGUCUUUGUCAAUAUGGUUCUUAGGCUUAAGCUCACCCUUCUUGUCUUUAAAACUUUCUACCCUCCUUUUUCUUUGUUUGAUGAAGAAGAGGUAUUAGUCUCUAAGUUGGGUAUCAACAGUGGCAAAGACUGAAGAAGUCCUUGGCUCCCUUCCCUCCCUUCUGACGUCGGAUCGUGCCCACAGAAAUGAAGUUAAGCAUCUUGUCCCCAAACAUACGGUGAAUAUCCAACAUCGAGGAAUUUUUGCUUACUUUACCUGUGUGGCCUACGGAGUCCUCCCCUUAGUUCAACCUUUCUCAAAUCCAAUCCUUUACUUGGAUGUCGCACUGGAUUUUCAACAACCCACAAAGAUUGAAUCUAUCAAGACACGCCUUUCUUUUUUAUGGGAGUUUGUACCUUGUCCUUUCAUAAAAAUCUAAAACGUGCUAGUGAUAAUAUCCUCUCCCUUUCUACUCAAGAAUAUCAAAUGAAGGUUGGAAGUGAGUGCCCUGGACAACCCCUGAGGUCAUCACCGUAGAUGAUGUGGGAGUAGGUGGGGAAACCAGCUUUCAUAGAAGAAAAUGAAAGAAUAUGAGAAGGGCCUCCAUAACAAGAAGCACGCAAGAAACUAAACUGACUUAUGGUGAUUUUGCGAAGUAUUAGAGCUGAAAUCAUGAAUUCAAUUCCAUCUGUUUCCUCCCAUAUUAGUAGUCCGCUUGUUGGGGUUUGUACAUUAAGUUUAAUAUGAGAACCCACAUGUUGGGGAUAAUGUUGAAGAUAUUCACAUAUAGUGAAAUGAUUAGAUUUACUCUACAAUCAUUCCAGCUUGGAUUUGGUGCUGAUUUAUUGGCAAUCCUAUCUCAUUUCUUCCUUGUGUUUUUUGGAUUCCACUUGUUGAGAAGAUAGCCACAAUCCUCGGAAGAUAGAGAAUGCCUCGUUUUACUUAAAAGGAUAGGCAUGCCUUUUAUAUUAAGUGGAAUUUGCCCCCACUACCAUUUCCCCUUUUAGGUUGUCUUGCACGCCAGUCAUCAUGUCAGUUCAAUCUAUUGAACUAGUUUGUAAGCUCUGAGUACAAAUUCUUCACAAUGGAAUUUUGGUUAUACUUUUGAUGAGAACUAUGGAUAUUCACUGGUAUACUAAGAAUAUAAUUUGUUGACGGCA